UACGUAGGGGGCGAGCGUUAUCCGGAUUUACUGGGCGUAAAGCGCGUUAAGGCGGUUGGCAAAGUUGGUUGUGAAAUCUCAGGGCUCAACCCUGAAAUUGCGACCAAUACUGGUCGACUAGAGUGCAAGAGAGGAAGGUGGAAUUCCCGGUGUAGUAGUGAAAUGCGUAGAUAUCGGGAGGAACACCAGUGGCGAAGGCGGCCUUCUGGCUUGUAACUGACGCUGUAGCGCGAAAGCGUGGGGAGCGAACCGA
RNAcentral lists this ribosomal RNA (253 nucleotides) under uncultured bacterium. RNAcentral describes it as "partial 16S ribosomal RNA". It matches the Rfam family "Bacterial small subunit ribosomal RNA", at positions 524 to 776 of the family's 1533-position model. The record is from RNAcentral.